UGGGGAAUAUUGGACAAUGGGCGAAAGCCUGAUCCAGCCAUGCCGCGUGUGUGAAGAAGGUCUUCGGAUUGUAAAGCACUUUAAGUUGGGAGGAAGGGCAGUAAGUUAAUACCUUGCUGUUUUGACGUUACCGACAGAAUAAGCACCGGCUAACUCUGUGCCAGCAGCCGCGGUAAUACAGAGGGUGCAAGCGUUAAUCGGAAUUACUGGGCGUAAAGCGCGCGUAGGUGGUUUGUUAAGUUGGAUGUGAAAUCCCCGGGCUCAACCUGGGAACUGCAUCCAAAACUGGCAAGCUAGAGUAUGGUAGAGGGUGGUGGAAUUUCCUGUGUAGCGGUGAAAUGCGUAGAUAUAGGAAGGAACACCAGUGGCGAAGGCGACCACCUGGACUGAUACUGACACUGAGGUGCGAAAGCGUGGGGAGCAAACAGGAUUAGAUACCCAGGUAGUCCCUGAGCGGGCUGGCAAGGCGCAU
RNAcentral lists this ribosomal RNA (472 nucleotides) under uncultured bacterium. RNAcentral's name for it is "bacterial SSU rRNA". It matches the Rfam family "Bacterial small subunit ribosomal RNA", at positions 355 to 825 of the family's 1533-position model. The record is from RNAcentral.